CUCGCCUGAGCCCAGAAACUCGCGACAAAGAGCAGGAGGGUGGGAAGGUUCAAGAGAGCUGGUGAAGAUCAAGAGGUAAGGGUCGGAAAGGAACUUAUGAUCUGAUCCUUGAAAUAGAGGAUGUGGUAUACUAGGAAUCCUCAGACGCAAGCGCUGAAGGGUCCCUAAAUUUUACACAUACACCCUCGGGUUGAAGAAAAAGAUCACAGCCGAGCCCUCGGGCGAGGCGGAUAAGGGUCGGCGGAACAGAUAGGGUCGGGCGAGACGGAACCGGGGUCGGGCGAAGCGGACUGGGGUCGGCAGCUUACCU
RNAcentral lists this long non-coding RNA (310 nucleotides) under Setaria viridis. Its description in RNAcentral is "long non-coding RNA (SVIR_LNC011354)". The record is from RNAcentral. Lineage: Eukaryota; Viridiplantae; Streptophyta; Magnoliopsida; Poales; Poaceae.